RNAcentral lists this long non-coding RNA (799 nucleotides) under Solanum tuberosum (potato). RNAcentral's name for it is "long non-coding RNA (STUB_LNC003498)". The record is from RNAcentral. Lineage: Eukaryota; Viridiplantae; Streptophyta; Magnoliopsida; Solanales; Solanaceae.
AUACUUCUAUUGCAAAGCAAGAACGACAAAGAUAAAGGGAAAAUAUAUAAUAAUCAUAGCCUUGACCACAACAAGGAAAGAUAUUAACCAAUAAGGAGAGGAAAACUCAAAUUAUUUCCAUCAUCCAAAUAUAAAGAAAGCAAAAACAGAGAAAACCAUGGCCAACAAGCAUAAUAUAUAGGGGACUUUAUAAAUUUGGCAUAAUACAUAUAUAAAUAUGGCUUUUAAUUUGACCUCAGUUGGUAUUUAUGUUCUUGAUCUUUGGGUAUGCAUAAGUAGACACUUAAACUUAUAUAAAGUUGAACAAGUAAACACACGUGUCCUACGUGACAUAAUACAUGUGUCCUACGUGACAUAAUACACGUAGGACGCCAUAUAGGAAGCUAAUAAUUGCCAAUAGAAUACAUGUGUUUACUUGUUCUGUGUACAAGUUUAAGUAUCUAUCUGUGCAUACCCAAAGUUGAAAAACAUAAAUAUCAGAUAAGGCUAAGUUAAAGCACAUUCACAUUUAUGCUUAUACUAUUCAUUUUGAGAUGAACCACUACAAGGUUCAUCAUUAUCAAGUUGAAGAUCUUUUAAAGAAGGAUAAUUAGGACCAUUCAUGAGCUGCAUGUUAGUAACCAUUUGACGAAGUCCAGCAGUUUCUUCUUUGAGUUGAGCAUUUUCUUCAAGUGCUUGGUCAUGGCCUUUUGAGACAUGAUUAAGUUUGUUCAGGAGUAGGUGAUUCUCGUUCCGCAGGCAAUUAACCUGUAAUGAGGCGAAUUCAAGAUUUAAUCUUUAUAUGUUUAUAAUUCUUUGU